GCCGGGCGUGGUGGCGCACGCCUGUAGUCCCAGCUACUCGGGAGGCUGAGGUGGGAGGAUCGCUUGAGUCCAGGAGUUCUGGGCUGCAGUGCGCUAUGCCGAUCGGGUGUCCGCACUAAGUUCGGCAUCAAUAUGGUGACCUCCCUGGAGCGGGACCACCAGGUUGCCUAAGGAGGGGUGAACCGGCCCAGGUCGGAAACGGAGCAGGUCAAAACUCCCGUGCUGAUCAGUAGUGGGAUCGCGCCUGUGAAUAGCCACUGCACUCCAGCCUGGGCAAUAUAGUGAGACCCUGUCUCUA
Non-coding RNA from Cavia porcellus (domestic guinea pig), 298 nucleotides. It matches the Rfam family "Metazoan signal recognition particle RNA". From Rfam's summary of the family: The signal recognition particle (SRP) is a universally conserved ribonucleoprotein. NCBI's taxonomy places the organism in Eukaryota, Metazoa, Chordata, Mammalia, Rodentia, Caviidae. The record is from Rfam.